Non-coding RNA from Camelina sativa (false flax), 136 nucleotides. The record is from RefSeq and is a predicted model, not a curated record. Lineage: Eukaryota; Viridiplantae; Streptophyta; Magnoliopsida; Brassicales; Brassicaceae.
AGGGGUAGAGUUGGCAGUAUACAUAUCUGAUCGUGUUCCAGAGAUGUUAAUUGGUGAUCCUGGGAGGUUUCGACAAAUACUCACAAAUCUUAUGGGUAACUCCAUCAAGUUCACUGAGAAAGGACACAUCUUUGUA